This 164-nucleotide ribosomal RNA is filed under the name uncultured bacterium. RNAcentral describes it as "partial 16S ribosomal RNA". It matches the Rfam family "Bacterial small subunit ribosomal RNA", at positions 355 to 511 of the family's 1533-position model. The record is from RNAcentral.
UAGGGAAUCUUCCACAAUGGGCGAAAGCCUGAUGGAGCAACGCCGCGUGUGUGAUGAAGGGUUUCGGCUCGUAAAACACUGUUGUAAGAGAAGAAUGACAUUGAGAGUAACUGUUCAAUGUGUGACGGUAUCUUACCAGAAAGGAACGGCUAAAUACGUGCCAC